Molecule: transfer RNA, 92 nt
Filed under: Colletotrichum orbiculare MAFF 240422
Lineage: Eukaryota; Fungi; Ascomycota; Sordariomycetes; Glomerellales; Glomerellaceae
Description: tRNA-Ser for anticodon CGA
Rfam family: tRNA
About the family: Transfer RNA (tRNA) molecules are approximately 80 nucleotides in length. Their secondary structure includes four short double-helical elements and three loops (D, anti-codon, and T loops). Further hydrogen bonds mediate the characteristic L-shaped molecular structure. tRNAs have two regions of fundamental functional importance: the anti-codon, which is responsible for specific mRNA codon recognition, and the 3' end, to which the tRNAs corresponding amino acid is attached (by aminoacyl-tRNA synthetases). tRNAs cope with the degeneracy of the genetic code in two manners: having more than one tRNA (with a specific anti-codon) for a particular amino acid; and 'wobble' base-pairing, i.e. permitting non-standard base-pairing at the 3rd anti-codon position.
Source: Rfam by way of RNAcentral
GGCGAAGUGCCAGAGUGGUUAAUGGGUGUGACUCGAACUUCAUAAGAUAUCACAUGGCUUCGGUCGCGCAGGUUCGAAUCCUGUCUUCGUCG